RNAcentral lists this ribosomal RNA (945 nucleotides) under Triticum aestivum (bread wheat). RNAcentral describes it as "partial small subunit ribosomal RNA". Lineage: Eukaryota; Viridiplantae; Streptophyta; Magnoliopsida; Poales; Poaceae. The record is from RNAcentral.
CCAUCCUUCUUCAAUAUUAUGACGCACCUCCUGGUUCACCUAGUCGAAGAGAUUUUCGUUCUCGGUCCUGUAUUUCUACACAAUAUGUUCCCCUUCGAGAGGUUCAUGGGAGUAUUAAAGAAAUAUGUUCGUAACCGUGCUAGGCCAGAAGGAAGCAUCGCCAAGGGCUAUGGAAAUGAGGAGGUAAUUGAGUUUUGUGUUGACUUUGUUCCUGACCUUAAGCCGAUUGGUCUUCCUCGAUCGCGGCACGAGGGGAGACUAAGUGGAAAAGGCACGAUCGGAAGGAAAUCAACGAUAUGUAUGGACGGCCAUUCUCUGACUGAAGCACACCACACUGUACUGGCCAAUUCCAGCUUGGUGGCUCCGUACUUUGAGAAACACAAGAAUAUUUUACGCUCGGACAACCCGGGGAAGCCUGAAUCCUGGAUUAGGAAGGCCCACAUGGAGACUUUCGGCAGUUGGUUGAGAAAACAUUUAAUGAAUGACAAUGAUGUUGUAGAUCAGCUGUACAUGUUGGCCAAGACACCAUCUUCGAUUAUAACGACUUUCCAAGGGUACGAGAUAAAUGGGAAUACAUUUUACACGAUCGCCCAAGAUAAAAAGAGCACCAACCAAAACAGUGGUGUCCGCUUUGAUGCAGCAACCGAGAAUGGGCAAAAGGUCACAUAUUAUGGUUACAUAGAGGAGAUAUGGGAACUUGACUAUGGACCCUCCUUUAAGGUCCCUUUGUUCCGGUGCAAAUGGUUCAAGCUAACAGGAGGUGGGGUAAAGGUGGACCAGCAAUACGGAAUGACAAUGGUGGAUUUCAACAAUCUUGGUUACCUUGACGAACCAUUCGUCCUAGCGAAAGAUGUCGCUCAGGUUUUCUAUGUGAAGGACAUGAGUAGCAAACCGAGGAAACGGAAAGAUAAGAAAACGAUCAGUACAUCAUGCGAUGAUCCAAAG